Myotis myotis is the source of this 3372-nucleotide long non-coding RNA. RefSeq lists it as uncharacterized. The transcript has 3 exons. The record is from RefSeq and is a predicted model, not a curated record. NCBI's taxonomy places the organism in Eukaryota, Metazoa, Chordata, Mammalia, Chiroptera, Vespertilionidae.
UUCCAAGUGGCACACAGCAGCUGCAGCCUCUCGGCUGCCGGGUGACCUUUCCUGGCCCCCACCCUACCUGCCCCAUCGGAUUCUGAUGAUCCAGGUCUCUGACAAGCACCAGGUGCUCUCUAGUUUGGGGUCUGUAUGACCCAGGAGUGAAGCAGGGGUUUUCAGAAUGCACCGGGGCCAAGACUGGGAGACUUCUGGGCAAGUGGGCAAGACGACCACCCCUCAGAAGUGUGCCAGGCCUCCCCCAGGAGCCUCUCAGUCCUGGCCUCCAGAAUUCACGAGAGGCAUGGUCAGUGGAUUCAGAGGAGAUGGCAAGACCACCAGGCACCUGGCAGGAAAGGAGCACAGGUGCCUUCUGGAUAGCUGGCCAGCCCAAAGUGCACAAGAGGAGGACAUUUACAAGCAGUAGCUUUUCUGAGCCUUUUCACCUGACCCAGAGGCAGGAAGCAGGCUCGAGCUAGUGUAUGCCUUAGGAAAGCUCAACAAGCCAGCACAGGCUUCUCCAGGAAGGAUACAUUCAUGCACCCAAAACCGGAAGCGAAGCCAUUGGCACAGCCUUCCCAGAAUUCUGACUCCCCAAGUCACAGCUUCCGAAGGAAAAUCAGAAUGGCAGCCGCAAUCAUCCUCGAUGUCUUCCUUUCUUUCUCUGGGCCUCCAUAUUGCCAGCAACUCCAGUUGACUCUGCAGAACUGAGUCCAAAUCCAGUCGCUUUCCCACACCCCUAUUGCUCCCUGCACCUAAAACCCGAAGCAAAGCCAUUGGCACCUGCGUGUCCAGCCACCACCCUCUUUCCCUGGGACUAUUGCAAUCACAUCCUCAUGCCUCCCUCCCCAGCCCCCUUGUCCUGCUACACAGCUGGCACAGCUGCAGCUGGCCGUGUAAUUGUUGUAAGCUACCUUUUGUGUUAAAAGGGCAGAAAAAGAACGGGUUGUGUAUGAACUUGCAUUUGCAAGAGAAAGCCACCCUGUCCUGACAGCUACAUAGAGACAGUUUAGAGGUGGAACCUGAAGUUUAUAGAGUUGUAGGGUCCCUUAAGAAAAAUAAUAGAAAAUUAGGUACAAACGGUGAGAUUUAGAGUAAGAAAAGGAGUCAUAAAAAGUUAGAAAUUGUGGAAAGCUGAGAAAUGCCACAAACAUCACAAAAUCCAGGAAAAAAACAAUAAUUUUUUUAAUUUUUAAAAUUGAUUUUUAGAGGACAGAGAGAAACAUCGAUGAGUUGCCUAUCCCGGGCACUUGGACCAGUGAUCGAACUGCAACCUGGAUAUAUACCCUGAUAGGGAAUCAAACCUGCCACCUUUUGGUGUAGCCAAUCAACUGAGCCACAAUAUUUUUUAUUAAUCAACUGUCUGACAUAUCUUUAUAAUCCUUUCCCUCAACAGUUCAUUGGUCACCUUCAUAUGAUGACAAUGCUGUUGUUUUGUAUAUAGGGAAUUAAAAGAUAAUUUAGUCUUUCCUUUAACAUGACCUGUUGCAUAAAGCUUUCACUACUACAGACUGUUUAGGAAAGUUUCCGUUUCACAAGAUGUACUUGGAAAUGCUUUAUAUAAACACACACAUUUCAGCACCAUUGUGAAAUUUGGAAAAACCACCGUUAAUUUUUUUCAUAUAUGAUCAGUUACAGAUCAUUGAUUUGUAUAUGAUUUGUUGUUUUUAGUACAGCCAUAAGUUUGUAGUACAGCCCUACAAACACAGAUAUCUGAUCAUUGCAUUUUGCAUGAUCUUCUCCAAAGAAAAAAACAUGUACUGUGUUCUUUAUUGUAUAAUCUGUGUUAUUCAGUCUACUCCCCCAGGACAGAACUUUGGUUUGGACUAGGGGUUAAUGACAGCAUCAAGAAGCAAACCUUCCAUUUACAAUUUCAUGUCUGAUUGGUAGGCAAACUUUCUACAGAAUAGCUUCUGGCUCCUUACAUUCCAGGCCUGAUUUUCCUUCACUUUCUGCACACUUCCUGUGCUGGGUGACAUGGAGCGUAUUCAUAUGGUGAUACGAACUCUGGGCCAGCAUCUCUGAAUCAUGAUCCAGGUGAGUGAGAACCGUGAGCUGUAGGGAAGCCGUCUUCUCCACCAAGGCGGCUGACUUUGAACUACAUGCAUUUGUAUCAGUAAACUCAAAUUCAAUGUAUCCCCAGCUUCACUCCCCCUAAACUGGAUCCCCUUAGCUGCUUGCAGGUGAAUAUUACUUUUGAGAACUUUGCACACAUGACUGAUGAACAUAGGGCUGGGGCUCCCUCUAGCAACAAGAGCACAGAAGGAAUCCUAAAAACUUAAUUUUUCUGAGUGCUAUGGUCUGAAUGUGUGUUCCUCCCUUCUCUCACAUGCCCCCCCCCCCACUCCCCUCACCCAAAUUCAUAUGUUGAAUCUUAAUUCCCAAAGGUAAUGGUUAUUAGGUGGCAGGGCCUUUGGGAGGUGAUUAGGUCAUGAGGGUGGAGCCUUCAUGAAUGGGAUUAGAAAAAAGAGGCUCCAGAGAACUCCAGAGCCACUUCCACCAGGUUCAGACAUAAGAAGUCUGAGACCAGGAAGAGGGCCCUCACAUGACCAUGCUGAUACCCUGGUCUUGGACUUCCAACCUGCAGAACUAAGAGCAAUAAAUUUCUGCUGUUUAUCAGCCACCCAGUCUGUGGUGUUUUGUUAUUGCAGCCUGAACAGACUAAGACACUGAGUUUAUAGAAAACCCAAUUCCUGAUCCCAGCUUCCUUAUCUGUAAAAUGGGAUAAUGAUAAUUAUAUUACCUGCCUUAUGAAUAAAUUAUUAUAUGAAAAGCACUUAGAAUGAUGGUUGGCACAUAGUAGGUGCUUAUUAAAUAUUUGAUGACUUGAAUGACCAGUGAUAGAGACUUGUAAACUAUAAAGUAAAUGCCAUUCAAAUUCUUUAGUUCAGUUAAAAGUUGGCAUAAUCCAAACCAAUGUAUUGAAGUCCUUGCACAGCAGAUUUGUAAAAGCCUGGUUGUAAGAAGGAAAGUAAAUUUGUCUGUAGUAACAACUAGAGCUGGGGCUGGGGCUCUCCCCAGAGGGUGCAACUGGGAGCAUCUUGAAGUAGUUCCUCAGCCUCCACAAAAGACCUCAGGGAUGAGAAUCCCACUACCUCUGGAGGCAGCAGGCUCUUUAUUCCUCUAAAACUUUCUCCCACCUAUACCUCCUCCACUGGCUCUGUGUGCUCCCUCCCUCCACCCUCGUCAAAGAGAAGGCCCAAGCUGACAAGCAGAGAUUCCCAAAGAUGAGAAACUCACCCUAACCUCGAAAUCAGAAAGACUAAGGUGUUUUAAGCUCUCUGUAGGACAAGCAAAGAACCAAGAAGGAGUCUAGGAAGACAUCUAGAGAAAGAGGGGAGAAAUGUGGACAAAGAGAGAAGCCAUCCCACGAAGAGGUAGAAAGAAAGA